AGCGGAGGAAAAGAAACUAACAAGGAUUCCCCUAGUAACUGCGAGUGAAGCGGGAAAAGCUCAAAUUUGUAAUCUGGCGGUCUUGGGCCGUCCGAAUUGUAAACUAGAGAAGUGUUAUCCGCGCUGGACCGUGUACAAGUCCCCUGGAAUGGGGCGUCAUAGAGGGUGAGAAUCCCGUCUUUGACACGGACUACCAGGGCUUUGUGAUGCGCUCUCAAAGAGUCGAGUUGUUUGGGAAUGCAGCUCAAAAUGGGUGGUAAAUUCCAUCUAAAGCUAAAUAUUGGCGAGAGACCGAUAGCGAACAAGUACCGUGAGGGAAAGAUGAAAAGAACUUUGGAAAGAGAGUUAAACAGUACGUGAAAUUGCUGAAAGGGAAACGCUUGAAGUCAGUCGCGUUGGCUAGGGAUCAGCCUUACUUUUGUGGGGUGUACUUCCUUGUCGACGGGUCAGCAUCAGUUUUGGUUGCUGGAUAAAGGCUGGGGGAAUGUGGCAUCUUCGGAUGUGUUAUAGCCCCUGGUUGGAUACAGUGGCUGGGACUGAGGAACUCAGCACGCGCAAGCUGUGCUUAGGAUGCUGGCAAAAUGGCUUUAAUCGACCCGU
Molecule: ribosomal RNA, 600 nt
Filed under: Hohenbuehelia josserandii
Lineage: Eukaryota; Fungi; Basidiomycota; Agaricomycetes; Agaricales; Pleurotaceae
Description: partial large subunit ribosomal RNA
Rfam family: Eukaryotic large subunit ribosomal RNA
Source: RNAcentral